Molecule: ribosomal RNA, 789 nt
Filed under: Bacillus sp. Y678_1
Lineage: Bacteria; Bacillati; Bacillota; Bacilli; Caryophanales; Bacillaceae
Description: bacterial SSU rRNA
Rfam family: Bacterial small subunit ribosomal RNA
Source: RNAcentral
GCAGUCGAGCGGACAGAAGGGAGCUUGCUCCCGGAUGUUAGCGGCGGACGGGUGAGUAACACGUGGGUAACCUGCCUGUAAGACUGGGAUAACUCCGGGAAACCGGAGCUAAUACCGGAUAGUUCCUUGAACCGCAUGGUUCAAGGAUGAAAGACGGUUUCGGCUGUCACUUACAGAUGGACCCGCGGCGCAUUAGCUAGUUGGUGAGGUAACGGCUCACCAAGGCGACGAUGCGUAGCCGACCUGAGAGGGUGAUCGGCCACACUGGGACUGAGACACGGCCCAGACUCCUACGGGAGGCAGCAGUAGGGAAUCUUCCGCAAUGGACGAAAGUCUGACGGAGCAACGCCGCGUGAGUGAUGAAGGUUUUCGGAUCGUAAAGCUCUGUUGUUAGGGAAGAACAAGUGCAAGAGUAACUGCUUGCACCUUGACGGUACCUAACCAGAAAGCCACGGCUAACUACGUGCCAGCAGCCGCGGUAAUACGUAGGUGGCAAGCGUUGUCCGGAAUUAUUGGGCGUAAAGGGCUCGCAGGCGGUUUCUUAAGUCUGAUGUGAAAGCCCCCGGCUCAACCGGGGAGGGUCAUUGGAAACUGGGAAACUUGAGUGCAGAAGAGGAGAGUGGAAUUCCACGUGUAGCGGUGAAAUGCGUAGAGAUGUGGAGGAACACCAGUGGCGAAGGCGACUCUCUGGUCUGUAACUGACGCUGAGGAGCGAAAGCGUGGGGAGCGAACAGGAUUAGAUACUCUGGUAGUCCACGCCGUAAACGAUGAGUGCUAAGUGUUAGGGGG